RNAcentral lists this long non-coding RNA (1286 nucleotides) under Pogona vitticeps (central bearded dragon). Its description in RNAcentral is "lncRNA (ENSPVIG00000016974.1)". The stretch from base 89 to 166 matches the Rfam family "mir-9/mir-79 microRNA precursor family". The record is from RNAcentral. Lineage: Eukaryota; Metazoa; Chordata; Lepidosauria; Squamata; Agamidae.
CUUCCGGGCCUCAGGAAAAAGGCAGAAAUGGAGGAGAGAGAAAAAAGGAACAUCCUUCCCGCCUGCUAGUGGAGUAGAUCCCAGGGGUUGGUUGUUAUCUUUGGUUAUCUAGCUGUAUGAGUGGGGUCAAGUCUUCAUAAAGCUAGAUAACCGAAAGUAAAAAUAACCCCAUUACACGCCUGGGGAGGAGGAAGACAAGGAGGAGGAAGGCCACCGAAAGCAAGCAAGCAAGGAAAUGCCACCAUUUUAACAAAAGAAGUUUUUGAACAGAAUGGCUGGCAAGGAUGGAUUGAAAAACCAGUCCUUGAGGAUGAAAGAAAUCAACCGAAUGGAAGAGAUGGAGGAAAGAGAGAAGACAAAGACGAUUCACAGCAAUCGAGAAAUUAGAGGCCAACACCCCAGAAGGAGAGAGAAAGAGAGAGACAGAGAGAGGACAGGGAGAGAAACACACCACCGUCCCCUCUAGCAGCCUGAGAGGGAGGAUGAGGACCCAUGUUAAGCAUCACUCUCCAACGUGACCUCCCGGCUGAGUCCCGCGACAUGUUCCUGCCAGGAUCUAACCAUCUCCAGCGCCUGGGGCAUCUGACUCCUCUGGGGGCGCAGAACCUACAAGACUGCAUUAAAGCGCCAGAUGUGAGAUGAGGAAAGCUGGAGGGGCACCCCUUCUAUCCCAGGCUAUUUUGGAAAGUUUCCUGUAUGGCGGAUCAAGCGGAGAGAUGUCACUGCUGUCCUUUCAGGCUGGAGACUGGGAUUUGAACCCUGGUCUCCUGAGCUCUCAGCCACCGGUCAGUCAACUCUGCCACCUUCUCUCCACUGUGACCCCCCCCCCAGGGGCCAAGUCGGGUUACAAAAAACUGCAAAGCUGGAAGGCCUUCCCAGGGAUCAUCCUUGCAGAGGGAGGCCAUCCACAGCCAUCCCUAGUGGAGGGCCCCCCAACCUGCGUGUGGGGAGGCCCCCCACGGAGCAACCUCUCCACCUGGACACUCAUUGGGGUCAGGUCCAUGUCGUCGGGAGGCAGGCGUGCAAUCCCAAGAUGCCAACAGCUCCCUUUUAUUCCUGGGGGGGGGGGGAAGGAACAGGAUGUCAGUGUGUGGACAUCCUGCCUCCAUCAGCCUCCACACUUUGGGACCCACGGAGGCCCCUUGUCCUUCCCCCACCACCUCCAAUUGUGCCUUUACCUGCUAUCGUAUUAUUAGCUGAUGGGCGUCUCCAUUAUACACCUGUGUCCCAUUUUAAAAAAAAUACAUAAAAAUAAAAAAUCAACAUGACUCCUUGGGGCGGCUUCA